Molecule: long non-coding RNA, 2472 nt
Filed under: Setaria italica (foxtail millet)
Lineage: Eukaryota; Viridiplantae; Streptophyta; Magnoliopsida; Poales; Poaceae
Description: long non-coding RNA (SITA_LNC001915)
Source: RNAcentral
UUGACCACCCCAUGCCAAACAUUGUGAGUGCAUCUUUUGGUCUGCCCAUGCUGGUUGUGAAUGACUGGAGGUGCAUGGCUGACUAAUGCAAAGCGUGCUUGGCUGAAUAAUGCAGUGCUUAGCGCUCAUAUAGUUAGAACAGUUACCAUUCAAAAUUUCUGGCCGACCAGCUUGUUGGUUGUGUCAAUAAUCUCAACCAAUGUGUGCAUACAUUAUCUGGUAGGCAUUGUGAAUUAUCAGGUUGUGGUGUGGCAACGGUAUGCAAUGUGAGUUAUCAGAAAAACAAAUAGUGUCGGAUAAAUUGUAUGUACAGAUUAACAUAAGGGGAAAUGCCGGUAUGCAGUUAUCUCUGAAAUGCCACUCCUGCCUGUGGUUCUGAAAAUGCAUUGAGGUAAUUGGUAUGUGGAGCUAGCCUGCAUAUGCAGAGCUACCCCGCUCUUGCCUCUUUCAGGUAUCCAAGUUAUUGUAAAACAAGCUUCUAUUUUUCAGUCUGAUUUGGCCGGGUGGUACAUUUUAGUCUCCUCAAACUGUGGGUUUCAACUGUAAGCUUCAUGCAUGUGUCCUGCAUCCAUUUGUGCAGUUCUUGAGGUGCAUUGAGCAUGCAUAAAUUAUUUUUUAUUCAUAAAAACAAAAACAUGUUUGAUUACUUCUGUCUAUCUGGAAUGGUGGUGCAAAGUUUUGGUCUUGGCAAGUGUUUGUGUGCCUUUCACUGUUAUAUGUUGGAUUGGACUAUAUUCUUUUGAGAAAUAUAUUGCUAUCUUUUUCAUAUUUGUCAAAUGACUAUAAUAAAUAUGUUUCUCUUGUCUCCUACAGUUCUGUGGUUUAUUAAAGUUGUAGGAAUAUUAAUCUUAGUCAUGUUCUUAGGUUUAGAUUCUUUCUGAUUUCUAAAGAAUGCAAUUGUAGCUUCAAAUCUUGUUAAUUUACUUUAUUUAUUAUCUAUCUUGUUUGUGUAACUUUCUGAUUUCUUUCCUGAAUAGCUUUACAUAAUACAUGUAUUGUGUUCCAGUUCCUAGCUUAAAAUCUAUAGCCAAACAGCAUCCUUUCUCUGUAAAAUGAGAAUGCGUGGGUUCAGCCAUUCAGCCAUUCAGUUAUUUUUGCGGGUGUUGUACCUUUUGGAGCUCUAGCCGUUGAGGCGAUCAGGAAUGAGGAUGUGCCUUAGGACUUAGGGUAUGUGUUUCCAUAAUAUUUUCCUCCUGAAGCGGAACGCUUCAGGUCCUGCUCCGGUGCAUCCAUCAAAAUUACCAGUGUCCAUUUGACCUAUUAGAGAAUGCUUGUAGAUGAACUGAUUUUUGGUACUUGAUUCAUCUACACUUUAUUUCUUUUCUAUGUUAAUAGCAUCUGAAAUAUUUUCCUUUCAUUGGCAAACUAUACUACUUUUCUGAAAGCAUACCUUGCUCAUUGAAAUAACAUGGAUCAACUUACUGCAGAUCUAUUGAGGGGGAUUUGGAGAUGUUGUCUCAAGCAGAAAAGAAGGAAGUGAGAAGUUGCUUGGACAAAUUGUACCUACAUUUUGUUUGCUUUCAGGUUUAAAUUUCUGAUCCAUAGUAGUGGUGGUAACAUGUAGAUCAUUACCAUGUAGAUGUAGUUAACUCUGUAUCAGGAGCUUACACCUAAAGUUGUUUGUAAUUCCUAGAUGUAGUUAACUCUGCAUCUCCAUAUCAUUGUUUCCACCUAAAGUUUACAAGGAAGCUUGCCACCUAAACCAUCAUUUCUAUGUUGAGUUGCCGGCUGUCAUGAGAUUUCCGUUGCAUGUAUCCUUCUAAACCAAUCAGGACCAUGGUCAUUUGCAUGAGGUCCUCUCCUUGAUGUAAAUUGCAAAAUCCUUUAGUUUUUUCAGUUUCUGUUCUUCCAUUUAAAGUUGUUGCCUCAUCUAUCUCCUUUGAGGAGGACACAAGGCCUGCAAGUAAUAUUUUCCAAAUUUUUUAUUAUUUAUGAUUGCUAAUAACCUUAUUUCUCUACAGUAUAUUCUAACUAGCUAGGCACAGGCAUAAGGAUGAGUCAUUUGUUAAAAUUAUUGCUUUCAUUAAUGCAUAAUUGGGAUCUGCAAAAUAUUGGUAUUUGUUCAUAAAUCACUUUGUAUCACUCAAAUUAUUUGGUUGCCCUUAGUUCAUGAACCAUCCUCAUUGGUCACUGCACUGUUAGGCCCUUACGUUCAUGCAUCUGCAUAAAGCUUUCAUGGUAACAUUCUGGAUAUAAUCUGGUUGCAUAAGCUCUACUUAUAUCUGCCUUUCUUCUAUAAUCUUGUUGAUUUUGCAGAUUAAUGCCAGUUUUCAAGUUUUCAUAUGUUGUCAAGAAAGAAAGAAUUUUCUUACAUUCACAAGGCCAUACCUAAAUGGCUUGGUUCAGUGUGUUGGUUUCAUAUAUUGUAUUAACUAUGGCAUGUCAAUAGUGGUGCUCCCAAUGAUGAGCUGCCUAGCCAAAUGGAGGGUGGGGCACAGAGAGAGCCACAGAGAGCAUUGCCCGAACCAUGAA